GGUCGGGUCCUGCGCAACGGCGGGUUGCAAACCCCGUCAGGCCCGGAAGGGAGCAGCGGUAGCAUCAUCGUCCGUGUGAUGCAGGCUCGCCUGACCGUC
This 99-nucleotide signal recognition particle RNA is filed under the name Deltaproteobacteria bacterium. RNAcentral describes it as "signal recognition particle sRNA small type". It matches the Rfam family "Bacterial small signal recognition particle RNA". Rfam says of the family: The signal recognition particle (SRP) is a universally conserved ribonucleoprotein involved in the co-translational targeting of proteins to membranes. Archaeal SRP consists of a 7S RNA and homologues of the eukaryotic SRP19 and SRP54 proteins. The record is from RNAcentral. Lineage: Bacteria; Pseudomonadati; Myxococcota; Myxococcia.